CAAGACUAUGUUAGUCGCCGGCGCUGUAAAAUCGCAUCUUCGAUUGCCAAGGAGAUAAUGCUGGCUUGAUGCACAUUUUUUUAGUUAUUAAUCACGACGAAACAAGAAGAAGAAGAUAACACACCAACCAAAUCCACAAUCAUCAACACUUAUUGCAACAGUUUCUCGUCGCUAAUCACUCAGCAGUAGAAUGGUGAGUGCAAGUACUCAAGAUUGUUGCUUUCUGCUUUGCUUGAUUACACUACAAGUCAUAGGAAGGGCUUAUGGAAACAUUUUGAAUGUUGGUGAGGAACUAAAGAAGGAAACUAUGCCGUUACAAAGUGGGUCCCGAAUCUACCAACUUCAAGGGCUAAGACCAAAGACGUGGUAUGAAGUCAAGAUAUCAUAUCCUGCUUCUGUAGAUACCCGCUAGCUUUUCGUUAGAACUGAAGAGAGGAGAAUCAGAAUUAUUGCUAAAGCACCAUAGGAAAUUACUGAAUACCGAAAAGUUGAUCUUUAAGAAUGAUGAUGCCGACUUGCAAAAUGACCAGAGUGAAACGUUCGUCGUGUUGACUGUUGAACCAGAAGGGGUGGUUGCAAUACCUAAUGGAAAGGAGAGGGAAACAGUCAUUUAUAACAUAGUUUGUGAUGAACUAAUGUUAGGGAUACCGCACGAAGCCUGGUGGGUUGUGAUCCUGGCUGUUGUUUGCUUGGGUGUGGCAUUUGUGAUCCCUUCAUUUCUACCAUCAGUUGAGUUGUUAAGUACAGACAUAACACGCCGUAGGGGAGCCACUUCCAAGAAUUCGUAACUUGAUGAUCAUGUCGAGUUGUUGAACUUUUUCAUAUAAUUAGUUAAGAAGAAAGCAUUACAUUUUUUCACAUUUUGAGCGUUUUGUCGUUGUACAAUCAUAGCAAAAUUUAUUUUAUACCGGUAUUUGUUAGAUAUUUUAGUGUAAUAAUAAGCAUACAUCUUGUAGGCU
Molecule: RNA transcript, 959 nt
Organism: Helianthus annuus (common sunflower)
Lineage: Eukaryota; Viridiplantae; Streptophyta; Magnoliopsida; Asterales; Asteraceae
Exons: 6
Source: RefSeq, a predicted model, not a curated record